Molecule: long non-coding RNA, 1636 nt
Organism: Meriones unguiculatus (Mongolian gerbil)
Lineage: Eukaryota; Metazoa; Chordata; Mammalia; Rodentia; Muridae
Source: Ensembl
AAACUGCAGUCUGCGUUUCUUGACGGUUAAAUAAAAACAGAAGCACCCGUGGUUACAUCAUUCUUGCUGUCUAAAGAGAGGAAACGAGAUCAGCUCCUGAGGAAAUGUAAUCUUUUCCCUCCUGUUCAACUCUGAAUGAAAAGUAUCACCACCUAAAGCCAAGAUAGAGCAACAGCAGACCAUGUCUUCUGAAUGGAUGCAGGUGUAUAAGCGAGACUUGGCCAAGCAGGUGGACCUGCCACAGGGGCCGCUGGAAAUAAUCAGUAUUAUCAAACGGAAAGCUUUCGAAGGAGCUUUCUAAGGACAGUGGUGUGCGUGGUGACAUCCGGGGAAGCUGGCAGCAGAGCGACCUACAAGCCAGCCCCAGCCACUGUACUCUGUGGGCUGAGGCUUUCACGACUGACUUGGCCAACUCAUAUUCCGAAAAUGCUAAGGCUCAGAGGUCUGCUCAGAAGUUUGCUUGUAAAAUAUGAAACUUGUCUCUGCCCUCUAUCACGGCUCCCAUUCCUCCCCUCCAGCAACAUUAGCUUUUAGACAUAUGUACUAAAUGCAUUUUUCUUUAAAGAUAUGGCAGAGAUAUUUCUUUUGGAGUGUGUCCAAACAAUCUGGGAAAUGCACACUUGACAUAGCCACGGGGAAGUGUAUUUUUUUAAAAACUCAAAGGAACAAAAGAAAGAAAAAAAGACAAGUCAGUGCCGUAACUUUGGAUUACGUUCCUGCAGAAAGACAGUACUGCAGGCCAGUCUUCAACCAUCCUGAAGCUUGACUUCCUGUCCUGUUCCAGCUGUGACCUGUUGAAAGUAGACUUGACAACUGUGGCCUUUGCUGUGACUCUGGCCCUUUGGAUUUUAGGAAAUAGGAUGGGGGUGAAGUGAAGAGGGAAUGGAAAAGCCUAAAGAGUGACAGAGAAGGGGGCUUCUAAGGGACUCUUUUCUAUUUCUAUACUUUACUGUUCAAAAUAGCCAAGUGGGCUAUGUGCCUUUGCUAUGGAUGUUUAAUCCAACCUUGAUCACAGGGAGGUAGUUGAGCAACGUGUGGACUGGGCUGGGAUAGGACAAAGGGUUUGACUUGCCUUUGAUCACAGUCCAUAAAGCUGAAGAUUGACUACAAGAAGCUAUGUCCCAGCAGAACUGCUAAGAACAAAGUCAGAAGUUGAUUGCAAAAGUAGUGAUUCAUUUUCACUUAAAUAUCAAUCAAGAAAGAAACCAAACCUAGUAUAAUGCUGCAUGCCUGUAAUCCUAGCACUUAGAGAAUGGAAGCAGGAAGGUGAAAGAUCUUCAGCUACAUAGUGAGUUUAAGGCCAGCCUGGGUUAUAUGAGACUAUCAGAAAAACAAAACAAAUCAGGUACCAAAACAGCCUCUUGUCCCAGUCUCUUCCAGAAAUAUUAUCUAGUGGCUCCACUGAUCCAGCAGUUAUGUUUUAUAGAUACAAUCCCAGCCUGAUUUCAUGGCUGAUAGGACUAGAGGCGUGAUCUGAUUCUAGGAAAGCCAGUGCAUAGAUUGCCUGUUCUUAUGGUCUAUGGCUGGGGGGCAGGUGAUGGUUCUGGUAUUAUCAUAUCCACUGUGCCUUUUACACACAUAAUUAGUACAUAUUCUACUAAAUAAACUUUUUUAUAUCUUUAUUCUGUAUAGGAAA